GGGCAUUUAGUUUAGGGGUAUAACAUCCGCUUCGCAUUAAUCAAAUGUAUGCGGAAGGUCGUGAGUUCGAUUCUUACAAUGUCCA
RNAcentral lists this transfer RNA (85 nucleotides) under Gnomoniopsis sp. IMI 355080. Its description in RNAcentral is "tRNA-Ala". It matches the Rfam family "tRNA". Rfam says of the family: Transfer RNA (tRNA) molecules are approximately 80 nucleotides in length. The record is from RNAcentral. Lineage: Eukaryota; Fungi; Ascomycota; Sordariomycetes; Diaporthales; Gnomoniaceae.